Molecule: long non-coding RNA, 1237 nt
Filed under: Capsella rubella
Lineage: Eukaryota; Viridiplantae; Streptophyta; Magnoliopsida; Brassicales; Brassicaceae
Description: long non-coding RNA (CRUB_LNC004616)
Source: RNAcentral
UAGGUGUGAGGAUGGAGGUUAGAGAGAUUGAGGGAACGAACUCCGAAAACGUCAGUGAAGAGUGUUACCCUGGUCCAUGCCAUGCAAUGGUGCCUCAUUGUUGGUGCUGCAAACAUUUAGACCACUGUUGGUCAGGCACAACUGGUCACAACUUUUGCAACAUGCAGUGUAACACAAGUUUAAACCCUUGAUAUGAUUAAUUAAAACAAGGGAAGCAUGAAGAACUAGUUCUAUUUUGUUUACUAAAAAUAAAUAAACGUCUCGCAAAGUUAUAGACUCUAUUAUGUUUGCUUCUGCGUCAGAAAAAGCAGUUAACCAAUGUUUUAAUCUGAUUUUUUUCUUUUUGGUUCUAACUAAAAAUUAAAAAUUACUUGUCAAAUAACUGACAGCUAAUUUUACUCUUCACUGAAUAAAUGAUGGUUGAAUAUAAUUUAUAUAUCUUUGACCCAAUAAAUUACUGUAUAAUGAUAGUGGAACAUUCACUAAUACGGAAACAUAAAUCAAAAUUAAUAAUUAAAUUCUUAAUAGAGAUAUUGGAAAGUUUGACCAAGACAUUUGAAUAUUGGAUCUUCCAAAUCAAGAGAUAUUAUCUCAAAUUAUUCUUUCUUACCUAAAAUUAAUCUAUGUUUGUAUUAUAUAUUGAUUAAGUUCGGAAUGAAAAAAUUACAACAACAAAAUAUCACAACACAAUUAUUUGAGAGAGUUGUAACAUUAACAUCCAGACUACGAUGAAGUCAUCACAUUUAGCUAUAAUCUGCAUAGUCAUGCUCUCUCUAUUCGCUCUUCAUGAGUGUAAGUAUAUUCGAAUGUGUUCGUUUUUCAAAGUUUUGGUUUGGUGUUUAACAACCAUAUAUAUAUAAUCGAUGAUGUGUAGGUGUGAGCAAAGAGAUCUCUCUAAAGGACGUAAAUGAAGAGUGUAUUCCUGGCCCAUGCCAUCCUUUGGUACCUCAUUGUUGGUGCUGCGAACAUUUACGGGCUAUCAGGCCACAAUGCUGUUGGUCAGGUAGCACUGGUCGCGACUAUUGCAAUAUGCAAUGUAGGUUAUAAUCAUUUCUAUUACUCUGGUCUACUCAUGCAUUUGAAUUCCCCCCACCUUUUCCAAGCAGUCUUAUAAAGCUUGCUUGUACUACUUCUCUUUAUUUACUCUUUUUUUUGAUAAAAUAAAGUUCAAGUUUCCAUAUAUAUACGCUUCUAAAGUAUUCUGUUGUUAAGAUUUAUAUUUUAUACCACAAUUGUA